AUGACUAUCCAUUCUGAUGUAUGGAGGCUUACUCAAACUGUGUCUUUAUCAUGUUAUAGAUGGUUUGUUACCUUUAUUGAUUGUUGCACUAGACUAACCUGUUAUAUUUGAUGAAAGCAAAAAGUGAGGUGUUUACUUGUUUCUAACAAUUUUAUAAAAUGAUUUGCACUUAAUUUGAUGCAAAAGUUAAAAUUUUCAAAACAGAUAAUGGGACAGAAUAUGU
RNAcentral lists this unclassified non-coding RNA (223 nucleotides) under Hevea brasiliensis (rubber tree). The record is from RNAcentral. Lineage: Eukaryota; Viridiplantae; Streptophyta; Magnoliopsida; Malpighiales; Euphorbiaceae.